UGAGGAAUAUUGGUCAAUGGGCGAGAGCCUGAACCAGCCAAGUAGCGUGCAGGAUGACGGCCCUAUGGGUUGUAAACUGCUUUUAUGUGGGGAUAAAGUGCGUGACGUGUCAUGCAUUGCAGGUACCACAUGAAUAAGGACCGGCUAAUUCCGUGCCAGCAGCCGCGGUAAUACGGAAGGUUCGGGCGUUAUCCGGAUUUAUUGGGUUUAAAGGGAGCGUAGGCCGUUUGGUAAGCGUGUUGUGAAAUGUAGGAGCUCAACUUCUAGAUUGCAGCGCGAACUGUCAGACUUGAGUGCGCACAACGUAGGCGGAAUUCAUGGUGUAGCGGUGAAAUGCUUAGAUAUCAUGAAGAACUCCGAUUGCGAAGGCAGCUUACGGGAGCGCAACUGACGCUGAAGCUCGAAGGUGCGGGUAUCGAACAGG
This 424-nucleotide ribosomal RNA is filed under the name Verrucomicrobiota bacterium. RNAcentral's name for it is "Verrucomicrobia bacterium partial 16S ribosomal RNA". It matches the Rfam family "Bacterial small subunit ribosomal RNA", at positions 355 to 776 of the family's 1533-position model. Lineage: Bacteria; Pseudomonadati; Verrucomicrobiota. The record is from RNAcentral.